UAAAAGAAAGCUUAUUUCAUUUUUUUACAGGCUUAUAUAUUGGCAUGCAGGUCCAUUUAAUAAAUAAAGUUGUAAGAAAAUGAUCAAACUAAGGCUUUAGGGCCACAUGUGUCCCUUUGGAGCUUUUAACAGCCAUCAUUCUGCAAAAAACUUACUAGAUAUGCCUGUUAAGUGCCAUAGGGUACACAGAUUCUUUAAGCAUGUUGGUAUCUUAAAGUAUUUACAAUCUGGUUGAACAGAUAAGACUUGUACAAACAAAAUUACAAUUCAGGGAAGUAUAAGUUAAAUGUCAAGUGCCAGGUGAAAAAUGUUUCUAUUGAAAUUCAAAGGGAAAAAUAACUUCUGCUUAGAGUUUCACUUAAAACCUCCAUGCAAUCUCAAAGAAAAGAAUAAAAAUGAAAUGUUCUGAUUCUAGUUAAGAUACAGUGGGUACACAUGCAGUUUUGUUACAUGGGAAUACUGCAUGAUGCUGAGGUUUGAAGUAUGGAUCCCAUCACACAGAUAUUUGGAUGCCCUCAUUUGGUCACUUCAUUGAAAUCAAGACAAGCAGCCUCAAAGUUCAUAGAAAACCAGCCCCAAAGAUUUUUGGGCAAGCUAUUUCUCAAAAGAGGAUCAAAAUGUUUGAAUUUGCACACAGAAUUUUUAGCAGUGUGAUUAAAACAAAUCAUCUAAACUCUCAAGUUUCAGUUUCUCAACUGUAAGUAAUGAUAAUAUGUCUUCACGAUUUUCUUCUAUAUAGACAUACAGAUUAAAAAAGAAACUAUAUAAAAUAUUUUAUUAUAUAGCUAUAUUAUAAUAAUUCAUAUAGUUUUUCAGUAUUGUAAUUUUAAAAACUACUUUUUAAAAAUAAAUUCACUUUAAUUCCUUCAGUUCUUUAGUAAUGCAAGGACCUGGUUAUAUGUCUCAGUGAUUAUUUUAAUCAACUAAUUAUAUUUAAA
Molecule: long non-coding RNA, 938 nt
Filed under: Homo sapiens (human)
Lineage: Eukaryota; Metazoa; Chordata; Mammalia; Primates; Hominidae
Description: HSALNT0092130
Source: RNAcentral